UACGUAGGGUGCAAGCGUUGUCCGGAAUUAUUGGGCGUAAAGAGCUCGUAGGCGGUUUGUCACGUCGGAUGUGAAACCCUGAGGCUCAACCUCAGGCCUGCAUUCGAUACGGGCAGACUAGAAUUCGGCAGGGGAGACUGGGAUUCCUGGUGUAGCGGUGAAAUGCGCAGAUAUCAGGAGGAACACCGGUGGCGAAGGCGGGUCUCUGGACAGUUCCUGACGCUGAGGCACGAAGGUCAGGGGAGCAAACGGG
RNAcentral lists this ribosomal RNA (253 nucleotides) under uncultured bacterium. Its description in RNAcentral is "partial 16S ribosomal RNA". It matches the Rfam family "Bacterial small subunit ribosomal RNA", at positions 524 to 776 of the family's 1533-position model. The record is from RNAcentral.